CCUACGGGAGGCAGCAGUGAGGAAUAUUGGUCAAUGGACGAGAGUCUGAACCAGCCAAGUAGCGUGAAGGAUGACUGCCCUAUGGGUUGUAAACUUCUUUUAUAAAGGAAUAAAACGAGGCACGUGUGCCUGUUUGCAUGUACUUUAUGAAUAAGGAUCGGCUAACUCCGUGCCAGCAGCCGCGGUAAUACGGAGGAUCCGAGCGUUAUCCGGAUUUAUUGGGUUUAAAGGGUGCGUAGAUGGGUUGUUAAGUCAGUUGUGAAAGUUUGCGGCUCAACCGUAAAAUUGCAAUUGAUACUGGCAGUCUUGAGUACAGUUGAGGUAGGCGGAAUGCGUGGUGUAGCGGUGAAAUGCUUAGAUAUCACGAAGAACCCCGAUUGCGAAGGCAGCUUACUAAACUGUGACUGACAUUGAGGCUCGAAAGUGUGGGUAUCAAACAGGAUUAGAUACCCCUGUAGUC
Molecule: ribosomal RNA, 460 nt
Filed under: uncultured bacterium
Lineage: Bacteria
Description: partial 16S ribosomal RNA
Rfam family: Bacterial small subunit ribosomal RNA
Source: RNAcentral